AUUGAACGCUGGCGGCAGGCCUAACACAUGCAAGUCGAACGAGUGGCGGACGGGUGAGUAAUGUCUGGGAAACUGCCUGAUGGAGGGGGAUAACUACUGGAAACGGUAGCUAAUACCGCAUACCAUCGGAUGUGCCCAGAUGGGAUUAGCUAGUAGGUGGGGGAAAGGCGCCCCUCGGCGACGAUCCCUAGCUGGUCUGAGAGGAUGACCAGCCACACGGGAACUGAGACACGGUCCAGACUCCUACGGUAGGCAGCAGGGGGGAAGAUUGCACAAGUGUCGCAAGCCUGAUGCAGCCAUGCCGCGUGUAUGAAGAAGGCCUGCGGGUUGUAAAGUACUGUCAGUGGGGAGGCGUUACCCGCAGAAGAAGCACCGGCUAACUCCGUGCCAGCAGCCGCGGUAAUAG
RNAcentral lists this ribosomal RNA (406 nucleotides) under uncultured bacterium. RNAcentral describes it as "partial 16S ribosomal RNA". It matches the Rfam family "Bacterial small subunit ribosomal RNA", at positions 29 to 526 of the family's 1533-position model. The record is from RNAcentral.